UGAGUACGAGAUGCUACGGCAUCGAAGCAGUCUAUGUCAUACUUCCAAGAAAAGCUUGCACUGUCAUAAACAAAGAAUGCCUGUACCAUAACCGACACAGGUGGGUAGGUAGAGUAUACUAAGGGGCGCGAGAUAACCCUCUCUAAGGAACUCGGCAAAAUGACUCCGUAACUUCGGGAGAAGGAGUGCCUUAUUUCUAAGGUUGCAAUAACAAGAUCCAAGCAACUGUUUACCAAAAACACAGGUCUCCGCUAAGUCGUAAGACGAUGUAUGGGGGCUGACGCCUGCCCAGUGCCAGAAGGUUAAAGAAGUUGGUUAGCAUUAGCGAAGCUGAUAACUGAAGCCCUGGUGAACGGCGGCCGUAACAAUAACGGUCCUAAGGUAGCGAAAUUCCUUGUCGGGUAAGUUCCGACCCGCACGAAAGGCGUAAUGAUUUGGAUACUGUCUCGGAGAGGGGCUCGGUGAAAUAGACUUGUCUGUGAAGAUGCGGACUACCUGCACCUGGACAGAAAGACCCUAUGAAGCUUUACUGUAACUUGAGAUUGAAAUUGGACUUUAUUUGCGCAGUAUAGGUGGGAGGCGUUGAGAAUAAUCUUGCGGGAUUGUUGGAGCCAUCAGUGAGAUACCACUCUUGUAAUGUUAGAUUUCUAACUUUGUAUCAUUAUCUGGUCAAAGAACAGUUUCAGGCGGGCAGUUUGACUGGGGCGGUCGCCUCCCAAAGGGUAACGGAGGCGCACAAAGGUUUCCUCUGAACGGGUAGAAAUCGUAUCUAGAGUGUAAAGGCAUAAGGAAGCUUGACUGUGAGACCUACAAGUCGAGCAGGGACGAAAGUCGGUCUUAGUGAUCUGACGGUGCUGAGUGGAAAGGCCGUCACUCAACGGAUAAAAGUUACUCUAAGGAUAACAGGCUGAUCUCCCCCAAGAGUUCACAUCGACGGGGAGGUUUGGCACCUCGAUGUCGGCUCAUCGCAUCCUGGGGCGGUAGUCCGUCCCAAGGGUUGGGCUGUUCGCCCAUGAAAGCGGUACGCGAGCUGGGUUCAGAACGUCGUGAGACAGUUCGGUCCAUAUCCGGUGUAGGCGUUAGAAUAUUGAGAGGAGCCUUCUCUAGUACGAGAGGACCGAGAAGGACAUACCUCUGGUGUACCAGUUAUCGUGCCAACGGUAAACGCUGGGUAGCUAUGUAUGGAGUGGAUAACCGCUGAAAGCAUCUAAGUGGGAAGCCCACCUCAAGAUAAGUAUUCUCGU
This 1244-nucleotide ribosomal RNA is filed under the name metagenome. RNAcentral describes it as "bacterial LSU rRNA". It matches the Rfam family "Bacterial large subunit ribosomal RNA", at positions 1564 to 2817 of the family's 2925-position model. The record is from RNAcentral.